Molecule: long non-coding RNA, 672 nt
Organism: Metopolophium dirhodum (rose-grain aphid)
Lineage: Eukaryota; Metazoa; Arthropoda; Insecta; Hemiptera; Aphididae
Exons: 2
Source: RefSeq, a predicted model, not a curated record
UUAAAAACUCAAUUAUCGUAAAAAAACUUCCAACAAAACACAGAUAACGUUCUUACUUCAAGUUUUAUAAUAGGUUGAUUCACUCUGAUUUUUAAGCUAACGGCAUAAGACUUGAAUUUCUGAGCGUAAAUUUGGUAGGUUACGCGUUUGUACGACGGAGAUAACACAUGCGGGUGUGGCGUCAUCUUAAUAUUUCUUAUAAGUUAUAAUUUAUAUAGAAUUGAGUACCUAAAUUUAAUAUAAUUAUUUAUAACAAUAAACGAUAAGACAGUCGACAUACAUGAUUGGCCAACAGUUUAAUUUUAAAGAAAAUAUCAAAAAUAGAAUUAUAAAAUAUGUAGGUACCUACUUGUUCAAUCAGCAGCAUCAAAUGAAUUCGUCUCUCAUACUUAAAGAUCCUGUGCAAACUCGUUUUCAAUCCCUACUCACGUCUGCAAACACAAAAAUGCCACACAAGAAUUUGUUGGCCGCACACCGAACUCUCCUCAGACAAAUUAUUAGCUUAUGACAUUGCAAGACUAAAUGAGGCAUAUUUGUAAGGUCCACCCAGCAAUCUUCUUCAUCUUCAUCAUUACACUCCACUAGUAACUUUAAACAUAUCAAUGCAUAUUUAUUUAUUAAUAUUAUUUAUGAUUGUAAAUAUAUAUGGUAUUAUUAAGUAUCAAUGUCAAA